CUACGGGUGGCAGCAGUGAGGAAUAUUGCACAAUGGGGGGAACCCUGAUGCAGCAACGCCGCGUGGAGGAUGACGCAUUUCGGUGUGUAAACUCCCUUUAUAUGUCAAGAAAAUGACGGUAGCAUAUGAAUAAGCACCGGCUAACUCCGUGCCAGCAGCCGCGGUAAUACGGAGGGUGCAAGCGUUACUCGGAAUCACUGGGCGUAAAGGACGCGUAGGCGGGUUGGAAAGUCAGGUGUGAAAUCCUACAGCUUAACUGUAGAACUGCACUUGAAACUUCUCAUCUAGAGUAUGGGAGGGGGAGAUGGAAUUAGUGGUGUAGGGGUAAAAUCCGUAGAUAUCACUAGGAAUACCUAAAGCGAAGGCGAUCUCCUGGAACAUUACUGACGCUAAGGCGUGAAAGCGUGGGGAGCAAACAGGAUUAGAUACCCGGGUAGUC
RNAcentral lists this ribosomal RNA (439 nucleotides) under uncultured bacterium. Its description in RNAcentral is "partial 16S ribosomal RNA". It matches the Rfam family "Bacterial small subunit ribosomal RNA", at positions 339 to 795 of the family's 1533-position model. The record is from RNAcentral.